This 78-nucleotide transfer RNA is filed under the name Deltaproteobacteria bacterium. RNAcentral describes it as "tRNA-Glu". It matches the Rfam family "tRNA". From Rfam's summary of the family: Transfer RNA (tRNA) molecules are approximately 80 nucleotides in length. Their secondary structure includes four short double-helical elements and three loops (D, anti-codon, and T loops). Further hydrogen bonds mediate the characteristic L-shaped molecular structure. tRNAs have two regions of fundamental functional importance: the anti-codon, which is responsible for specific mRNA codon recognition, and the 3' end, to which the tRNAs corresponding amino acid is attached (by aminoacyl-tRNA synthetases). tRNAs cope with the degeneracy of the genetic code in two manners: having more than one tRNA (with a specific anti-codon) for a particular amino acid; and 'wobble' base-pairing, i.e. permitting non-standard base-pairing at the 3rd anti-codon position. Lineage: Bacteria; Pseudomonadati; Myxococcota; Myxococcia. RNAcentral also lists the same sequence under 2 other names. The record is from RNAcentral.
GUCCCCAUCGUCUAGCCCGGUCCAGGACACCGGCCUUUCACGUCGGCAACACGAGUUCAAAUCUCGUUGGGGACGCCA